UUUUUGUUUUCGUUUUCGUUUUCGAAUUGUUAUUUGUUGUUAUUGUUGAUUUUUCUCAUCUGGGAUUCUCUGUAUAUUCUAUUAUUCUUUGACGGAUAUGUGAUUUGAUGGGAAUUUUAAGACAUAAUAUGAAUUUUAUUAUAUCAAAGAAUGUAUUUUUAUUAGAGAAUAUGGCGAGGAGAGAUCUAAUUAGGGUUGGGAUUUACUUGUUUGUACUUGUUUGUUAUUCAUUUGAAGAUAAAUAUGAACAGAGGAUUGAAUUGUAUGUUGGGAGGGGAUAAUAUUGCAAGAUACAAGUAUUAAACUAUUGAAUAUCAUUUGACUGGAUGAUUGUGAAAACAGGAUCAGGAGAGGGAUUGCAAAUUUAUUUAUUCGAUUAUGUGGCAUAUAUUGUUGGAGCAUGAUCUAUGAUCAGUUAGUAUGUUUUUUGUAAUUAAUUAUAUCUGUGAUUGAUUGUUUCACAGUGGUUAUUAUCCCUAUUGAAUUCCUUUACUGAGGCUAUUUACGUUGGAUGCUUUUUUUCAAACUAAAGCAUCUUGCAGCCUAGUUUCAUGAGAUUUUCUGAAUUUUUCUUCUUGCAACGUGGCACUAAUAUGCUCGUGGAACAUCUUCUCGAAUCAGAAAAAUAGGAAGUAAUGAGAUUUACAUGCUUUAUCACGACUGUGAUUGAAUGAAUGCAUUAAUAUAUUUUAUUACCAAUCCAAUCAUAGUCAACGAGCCUUAUCAUGUCCUAUUGGUGCAGGGUUAACUUAUAUAACAUUUUCCCGAUCAGCUGAAUUUGUUUAANCGAAGAG
RNAcentral lists this long non-coding RNA (794 nucleotides) under Olea europaea subsp. europaea. The record is from RNAcentral. Lineage: Eukaryota; Viridiplantae; Streptophyta; Magnoliopsida; Lamiales; Oleaceae.